AAGAUAUUCAUAUAUUGCUUGCAGAAUGUUUUUAAACAUGAAAAAUAAAAUAAUUUUAAGAAAAGAAACAUCCUUCCCUAUAUAUUGGAAACAUAAGUAUUUUCUAGUAAAGGUCAUGUAAAAUAAUUGAAGGAGAAAUGAUCUAGAAAUCAGGUAGCACAAGUUCCACUUUUACUUCUGAGUCAUUGUUUGUAAUUGCUUAUAAGGACAAGCAUAUCAUUCACUCAUUUCUAUAAUAACUUUGACCACAUACUAUAUGUCUGCCAUCAUACUCUUUGCUGGAGAUUCAGCUGGGCCUCAUUUCCAUAUUAGUCAGGACUCUUGCUGGGAAGCAAAGAUAAUGCCAGCUCAAACUAGCUAAAUCAAACAAACAAACAAAAAAAUGUAAUGACAUACACAACCAGGGAAUGUAGGGAUGGACUUGCAUUCAGUUGCAUCCAGAUUCAAGUGGAAAUAGUCUCAUUAGCACUCAGCCCUCCUGUCUCUUCACCCAUCCUCAGCUCUGCGGCUCUUCUUUCCUCUCUGUGAACUUCCCUUUGCUGCAGGUUCUCUCAAAAUGGAGACUCAUUGCCUCUCCAUGGAUUAUAUUCUCAUUGUGUCUGAGUAAUGUCUUUACUCUUCUAGGUCCGUUCCAAUCCCAAAUCCAUAUUCUUUUGCUUAACACCCAAUUAGUGUGCAUGAAGCAGCAAACACAAAAGCUGGCUACACAUUAACUACAUAGCAAGUGUUCUUUCCAGUCACCAUCUAUCUAUAAGUAUGCAUUUCUUUUAUUUAACAACCAUGUUAUUCUUUUGCUUUAUUUCAUAAUUUUUUAAAACUUAUUUUUCUAUUUUGAUUUUAAUCUAUCUUCUGC
RNAcentral lists this long non-coding RNA (853 nucleotides) under Marmota monax (woodchuck). The record is from RNAcentral. Lineage: Eukaryota; Metazoa; Chordata; Mammalia; Rodentia; Sciuridae.